RNAcentral lists this ribosomal RNA (469 nucleotides) under uncultured bacterium. RNAcentral's name for it is "partial 16S ribosomal RNA". It matches the Rfam family "Bacterial small subunit ribosomal RNA", at positions 27 to 507 of the family's 1533-position model. The record is from RNAcentral.
GGACGAACGCUGGCGGCGUGCUUAACCCAUGCAAGUCGAACGGAAAGGCCCUGCUUUUGUGGGGUGCUCGAGUGGCGAACGGGUGAGUAACACGUUAGUAACCUGCCCUUGACUUUGGGAUAACUUCAGGAAACUGGGGCUAAUACCGGAUAGGAGCUCCUGCUGCAUGGUGGGGGUUGGAAAGUUUCGGCGGUUGGGGAUGGACUCGCGGCUUAUCAGCUUGUUGGUGGGGUAGUGGCUUACCAAGGCUUUGACGGGUAGCCGGCAUGAGAGGGUGACCGGCCACAUUGGGACUGAGGUACGGCCCAGACUCCUACGGGGGGCAGCAGUGGGGAAUAUUGCACAAUGGGCGGAAGCCUGAUGCAGAAACGCCGCGUGCGGGAUGACGGCCUUCGGGUUGUAAACCGCUUUCGCCUGUGACGAAGCGUGAGUGACGGUAAUGGGUAAAGAAGCACCGGCUAACUACGUG